Molecule: unclassified non-coding RNA, 580 nt
Filed under: Aspergillus nidulans
Lineage: Eukaryota; Fungi; Ascomycota; Eurotiomycetes; Eurotiales; Aspergillaceae
Description: sequence contains ITS1, 5.8S rRNA gene, ITS2
Rfam family: 5.8S ribosomal RNA (bases 189-342)
Source: RNAcentral
CCCUUCCGUAGGUGAACCUGCGGAAGGAUCAUUACCGAGUGCGGGCUGCCUCCGGGCGCCCAACCUCCCACCCGUGACUACCUAACACUGUUGCUUCGGCGGGGAGCCCCCCAGGGGCGAGCCGCCGGGGACCACUGAACUUCAUGCCUGAGAGUGAUGCAGUCUGAGCCUGAAUACAAAUCAGUCAAAACUUUCAACAAUGGAUCUCUUGGUUCCGGCAUCGAUGAAGAACGCAGCGAACUGCGAUAAGUAAUGUGAAUUGCAGAAUUCAGUGAAUCAUCGAGUCUUUGAACGCACAUUGCGCCCCCUGGCAUUCCGGGGGGCAUGCCUGUCCGAGCGUCAUUGCUGCCCUCAAGCCCGGCUUUGUGUGUUGGGUCGUCGUCCCCCCCGGGGGACGGGCCCGAAAGGCAGCGGCGGCACCGUGUCCGGUCCUCGAGCGUAUGGGGCUUUGUCACCCGCUCGAUUAGGGCCGGCCGGGCGCCAGCCGGCGUCUCCAACCUUAUUUUUCUCAGGUUGACCUCGGAUCAGGUAGGGAUACCCGCUGAACUUAAGCAUAUCAAUAAGCGGAGGAACAUUACUU